RNAcentral lists this long non-coding RNA (1272 nucleotides) under Homo sapiens (human). RNAcentral's name for it is "HSALNT0013312". Lineage: Eukaryota; Metazoa; Chordata; Mammalia; Primates; Hominidae. The record is from RNAcentral.
CUGGCUAAGACCAACUACAGUAUAAGGUCCUCACAACUGAGCAUAUGAAGAGCACCUUUCCUCAAAGACCCACCAUAAGGCAGGUGGAGCAUGGGGCUCAGGUUCUAAAUCAUCUUGUGGCUAUAUUGCUCCUCAGCCCAGAUCUCUGCUGUUAUGUGUCCAUGAGAUGCCUAACUCUGCUUGAGAAAGCAACGGAAUGAGGGAACCAAAGUGUCCUUCUCCUGAGCAGUCCUAGAGAUUGGGUUGUGAGUAGGUCACUAGCAUAACUCUGGGGAAUGGAUCAGUUCUUAGAAUGAUGCUGCUGCCAAGGCGAGGCAUGUUAUCCCAAAUCUCAGUGGCUGUUACAAGAGGAGGAGACUACCCAACUGCCUUGUUUGGAACAUGACCCAUGUUGGCCAAGUAUCUCUCUGCCCAGUGAGUACACUAAGUGUUGCAGGUCUACGGAUCUCGGUGCAAUUUGUUCAGUAUAUGGAGCAAUGCAAUGAGUAUUCCAACCCUGAACAGCUGGGAAAGGAGAAAGAUGUGAAAAAUGAGGAGGGAUCCAGGUGGAAAGAAGAUGAAGAUCCAAUUUUUAUCCAAUGGCACAGAAGGCUCUUCAUGUCCAUGCUCUGUUAAUGUCACCUUCCCCAAGCCGUGUCUGCACCAACUGCCCUGCACAAACCGCCACAGGACACCCACAACCCUGCACCCUGCCCUAGUCUUCUCUGCAUUUUCCCUCAAGCUCCAUGUUGCCUGCCGAUGUCUGCUUUUACAAUUCCCUCUUUCCAGAGUAUUCCCUUCAACUUCCUCAUUCUCAUUUCAACUAAUUUUUACUGGUACUCCAGUCCUCAUCCUGCAGGGCACCCCUUUGGAGUCAUUUUCUGACCUGGAGGUUUUAUAGAAAAUGUUCCUCUCUGUUUACCCUAUCAUGGCAGUGGUUUGCCAUAGGACAAUUGCCUGCUAAUUUCUCUGUCUCCUUCAUUACCUGGAAGCUCCUGGAGGGCAGGAUUUAUAUAAUCUUCACCACUGUUUUCCUAGUAGUUAGGAGUACCCAACCAAUAACAGUCACUCAAUAAAUACUUUUUGAAUAAAUUGUUGCAAAUAAAUAGUAACCCUAGAAUAUUCAAGGUAACAAUGUUCUGUACAAUCACUGGAAGAAAACAGCUGUUUAGUACAUUUUGAAAAUAUUUCCAUCAAAACAGAUUCAAAUAAAAUCUUGGCACUUCAAUGGAAUAAGCUUCAGUUAACUGGAAAAAUAAUGUGCUUGCAAUGUGUUAACAGAAGAUGGUAAAU